This 737-nucleotide long non-coding RNA is filed under the name Pan troglodytes (chimpanzee). RNAcentral's name for it is "lincRNA". The record is from RNAcentral. Lineage: Eukaryota; Metazoa; Chordata; Mammalia; Primates; Hominidae.
CUAUGAUCUACAGUGCCCAUUCCAACUCAGAGAAUCUUUACAUCUGGAGAUCUAUAGCAGGGCUAUCCCUAGUGACAUGCGUGAAGAAGCUUGGAAAUGGUGCUGGGUAGGAGCUGAGUGUGCAGAAUGUGGAAAGGCAUUCUAAACCAAAGGAAGAACACGAGUAAAGAUGAUGAAGCAGGGAUAAGGCUAAAAUGAAAUUUGUGAUCUGAUCCACAUACAAGCACAGUGUAGUACAGCUGGAAUAUAGAGAAGAGCUUGAAGACUUAUGAGCAACUAUCCCGGUACUCUUGGAGGCUCUGCAACCACAGUUUGAGAAACUCCGCGUUCAAAGUUAAAAACUGUCACCUGAAUAGUUAAUAACAUCAAAGAUUGUGAAAGCAAGUAUAAAUAACACAGAGAUUAAAAUAAUGAGGCAGGAUCAGAAACACUGACCUGCUGUGUAAGAAGUCCAACUGCCCUGAGGCCACCAGGCUGGAGAGACCAUGUGUGGAUAGGUUCUCUGAUCAGCAGUCUCUAUCAAGCCCAGCCUUCUAGCCAUCAAGCCCAGCCUUCUAGCCAUGUCCACCAAUGUGCCUGACAUGUGAGUGAAGCCAUCACAGACCCUUCAGACCAGCCCACCUGCCAGCUGAGUACUUGGGUUAUGGUGGCCAUCCAGACAUAAAGAAAUUAGAACGUUCAUUCAUCUGCAGAUGCUCACACAUUCCUACAGGAUGACUGAAACCCACAGCAAACAA